This 225-nucleotide long non-coding RNA is filed under the name Elaeis guineensis (African oil palm). Its description in RNAcentral is "long non-coding RNA (EGUI_LNC044603)". Lineage: Eukaryota; Viridiplantae; Streptophyta; Magnoliopsida; Arecales; Arecaceae. The record is from RNAcentral.
CUCAACUUCUUCAAACUUCUUUCUCAACCUUAUCAGCUUCUUCCGCUUUCUCAAUUUUUUCAGCCUUCUCAGCUUUCUCAGUCUUUUCAGCUUUUUCGAUCUUCUCAGCUUCCUCGACCUUCUUAGCUUACUCAACCUUCUUUCUUAGUCUUCUCAAUUUUCUCAGCUUCCUCGACUUUCUCAGCCUUCUCAGCUUUUCUGACUUUCUCAGCCUUCUCAGCUUCC